UCACCCUGAUAAGGCGGGGGCUGUUAUCAGCGCACCCAGGCUGCGCCCCUCCCGGCACCGAGCCCAACGGGGCCAGCAGCCCCCCGGGUGCCGUCCCCAUGGCCCUGUGAGGGUCCCCGAGCUGGCAUGAGCGUGUGCACGCGUGUGCAUGCGUGUGCAUGAGUGUGCACGUGUGUGUGCAUGCGUGUGCUCACGUGUGUGCGUGUGCAAGGUGCACCCAGCUCACCUUUCUCCCCUUCCCUGCACCCUGCGUGCGGGAGCAGCCUGGCCUGGCAGCGUGCAGCCCCACGCGUGCGUGCACACACACGUGUACAUGAACACACGCGUGCAGACACACACCUGUGUACGUGUGCACACGCGUGCAUUCACACCUGCAUUUCCAUGUGCACGCACACAGGCACUUGGAAACCUGCCCGCAUUCACGCGCUCGUGCACAGGUGCACGCACGCCUUUGUGCACGUGCACACACGAGUGCAAAGGUUCGUGCGUGCACACACAGCCCUGUGCACCCGUUUGCACACACACGAGCGUGCACACAGGCGUGCACACACACCCGCAGGGUGCACCCAGCCUCCAGGACACCCCAGGACGGGCGCAUCCCCCCCACCACCCAUGGGCCCCAAAAUGGCUCCUGCCCCCCCCGCCUGGGGGGAACCCCUUUUUUUUUUUAAAAAAAAUUAAAAAAAAAUUAAAAAAAAAGAGAAAACCCCAAGCCCAAGGAGGGGAGAGGAUUCCCGGGGAUUCCCCGAGGGAAACCCGGACCCAAAACCCCGAUAGCAGCUGUGGGAUUGCGGGGUGGCCGGAGCGGGGCCGGGCAGCGUGGGGCAGCACCGUGGGUUGGGGCCGGGCGCAGCCGCCGAGGCGCAAGAUGUUGCACCCCGAUAACCUUGUUUACGGGGCCGGGGGGGGGCCGGGCGAGCCGGGGGGGGCAGCGGUGGGGGGCAGAUUAGGAGGUGAGCGUGACUCAGGGCAUUUGGGUGCCUGCCCCGGCGGCGCGCGGCUCUUCCACCGGAGAGCCGGGGGCUGGCGGCGACGGCAGCGGCGUCCCCGAGCCACCCCAAAGGACGCCGAGGAGGUGAUGCGGAGAAACCUGGACCCCGAGGGCUACGAGGACCCGGGGAUCAAGGUCUCGAGGAUGUCGCUGGAGGAGACGAGCAGUGAGUGGCACCCACGGGCGGAGGGGGGAGCUGGGGGCGCGCGGGGUGGUGGGGGGGCUACGUGGGGGCCAGAGGGGCAGGGGCAAUGGGACCAGCACUGGCAUUGCAUGGCUGGUGGCACCGCAUGGGCACCGGUGUCGGAUGAGCACCGGCGUUGCAGAGGUGGCAGCGUUGCACGGAUGGGCGUUGCACGAGCGGUGUUGCUGCACGGGCACCUGGGCUGCACGGGGACUGGCACCCUGUGGGCGCUGGCACGGCGUGGGCACUGCAGGGGGCACAGUGUGGGCACGGCAGGUUCAAGGGCGCAUGUUGCAUGGGGUUCUGCGGGUGCCAGCGUUGCACGGGCACCAGCAUUGCAUGAACACCGGCAUGGCAUGGGUGUUAGCGUUGUGCGGGCGCGUUGCACGGGCACUCGGGUUGCACGGGUGCAUGGCAAGGGUGCCAGCAUUGCAUGGGCAGCGGUGUUGCACAGGUGCCAGCACGACAUAGGCGUGUUGCAUGGGCACCAGCGUUGCAAGGGUGCAGGUGUUGCAUGGGUGCCAGCAUUGCAUGGGCACUGGAGUUGCAUGGGGCCAGUGUUGCAUGGGUGCAUUGCAUGGGCACCAGCGCUGCAUGGGUGCCAACGUUGCAUGGGUGCAGGCGUUGCACAGGCGUGUUGCAUGGGCACCAGCACUGCAUGGGUGCCAGCGUGGCUUGCUGAAACCCUGGAGGUUGCCAGCGGGAAAAGGAGAGAUGGCCAAGCCUGGGGACACCGAGGUCCUUGGGUGGGCGGCGAGGGGCGUUCAGAGGGGUCUCGUUGCCCCUCUUCCUUGCCCGCAGCCGGGUUUUUAUGCUCGAUGCAGCAGGGUGGCACCUCUCCGGUCCCCACCGGCUGCCGCUGUGCAUCCCAAAGGUCUCGGUGUCCCCAGCCCCCCAGGGUCCCCUCCAUGGGGUGACGCCGGGUGGUGACGUUGGCCAUGGGGUGGGGUGGUGGCUGUCCCCAUCCCGCGCCCACCCGAGGUAACGCUGCCGCCCGUUCUGCGCAGGGGCCGGCGGCGGCACCGGGCCCCCUUUGGCCGCGCGGAGGGCGAGAGGCGAGGAGCUGGCGCCCCUGCGGUGAGUCCCACGCGCGGCUCGGCCCCGGGAGGCCACCGGCACCCACGGGCGCGCGGGGCUCACCCGCCCGUCCCCGCCGUGUGUGUUUUGCAGCCGGUAUUUGCCCAGCCACCGGGGAUCCUAUGACCUGGACGGGAGGAGGCGCGCGGCCGGGGCCCCCCCGGGACGGGUCAGCCGCCGUGGCGGAGGGCAGAGUGAGUGACCCG
This 2458-nucleotide long non-coding RNA is filed under the name Anas platyrhynchos platyrhynchos (common mallard). RNAcentral describes it as "lncRNA (ENSAPLG00000018966.1)". The record is from RNAcentral. Lineage: Eukaryota; Metazoa; Chordata; Aves; Anseriformes; Anatidae.